UACAGAGGUCCCAAGCGUUGUUCGGAUUCACUGGGCGUAAAGGGUGCGUAGGUGGUUGUGCAAGUCUGAUGUGAAAUCUCCGGGCUUAACCCGGAAACUGCAUUGGAAACUACCUUGCUGGAGGGUUUGAGGGGGGACUGGAAUUCUCGGUGUAGCAGUGAAAUGCGUAGAUAUCGAGAGGAACACCGGUGGCGAAGGCGAGUCCCUGGAAAACACCUGACACUGAGGCACGAAAGCUAGGGGAGCAAACAGG
RNAcentral lists this ribosomal RNA (253 nucleotides) under uncultured bacterium. RNAcentral describes it as "partial 16S ribosomal RNA". It matches the Rfam family "Bacterial small subunit ribosomal RNA", at positions 524 to 776 of the family's 1533-position model. The record is from RNAcentral.